Molecule: ribosomal RNA, 578 nt
Filed under: uncultured Nitrospira sp.
Lineage: Bacteria; Pseudomonadati; Nitrospirota; Nitrospiria; Nitrospirales; Nitrospiraceae
Description: bacterial SSU rRNA
Rfam family: Bacterial small subunit ribosomal RNA
Source: RNAcentral
ACUCCUACGGGAGGCAGCAGUAAGGAAUAUUGCGCAAUGGGCGAAAGCCUGACGCAGCGACGCCGCGUGGGGGAUGAAGGUCUUCGGAUUGUAAACCCCUUUCGGGAGGGAAGAUGGAAUGGGGUAACCCAUUCGGACGGUACCUCCAGAAGCAGCCACGGCUAACUUCGUGCCAGCAGCCGCGGUAAUACGAAGGUGGCAAGCGUUGUUCGGAUUUACUGGGCGUACAGGGAGCGUAGGCGGUUCGGUAAGCCCUCUGUGAAAUCUCCAGGCUUAACCUGGAACAGUCGGAGGGGACUGCUGGGCUAGAGGACGGGAGAGGAGCGCGGAAUUCCCGGUGUAGCGGUGAAAUGCGUAGAGAUCGGGAGGAAGGCCGGUGGCGAAGGCGGCGCUCUGGAACGUUUCUGACGCUGAGGCUCGAAAGCGUGGGGAGCAAACAGGAUUAGAUACCCUGGUAGUCCACGCCUUAAACUAURAAUACUAAGUGUCGGCGGUUUACCGCCGGUGCCGCAGCUAACGCAUUAAGUAUUCCGCCUGGGAAGUACGGCCGCAAGGUUGARACUCAAAGGAAUUGACGG